Molecule: long non-coding RNA, 216 nt
Organism: Nicotiana attenuata
Lineage: Eukaryota; Viridiplantae; Streptophyta; Magnoliopsida; Solanales; Solanaceae
Exons: 3
Source: RefSeq, a predicted model, not a curated record
UAACGUCGCAAGCUGUUGUCAUUGGUGUGAGUUGCAGAUUGGAUGCCGAUCAACUCUUAGAGAAGAGAGUAAGGUCUCGUUUCUCACAUAGAAAGCUGUUGUUUCUACCCCCUUCGCAAGAAGACUUGCAAAAAAUUUUGCAGCACGCUUUACUACUGCCGACAGAGUCAGAACUUCCUUCUCAAUAUGUAGCUGCUUAUAACACAAAGCUUCUUG